Molecule: ribosomal RNA, 468 nt
Filed under: uncultured bacterium
Lineage: Bacteria
Description: partial 16S ribosomal RNA
Rfam family: Bacterial small subunit ribosomal RNA
Source: RNAcentral
GACGAACGCUGGCGGCGUGCUUAACACAUGCAAGUCGAACGGAAAGGCCAUGCUUUUGUGGGGUGCUCGAGUGGCGGACGGGUGAGUAACACGUGAGUAACCUGCCCUUGACUUUGGGAUAACUUCAGGAAACUGGGGCUAAUACCGGAUAGGAGCUCCUGCUGCAUGGUGGGGGUUGGAAAGUUUCGGCGGUUGGGGAUGGACUCGCGGCUUAUCAGCUUGUUGGUGGGGUAGUGGCUUACCAAGGCUUUGACGGGUAGCCGGCCUGAGAGGGUGACCGGCCACAUUGGGACUGAGAUACGGCCCAGACUCCUACGGGAGGCAGCAGUGGGGAAUAUUGCACAAUGGGCGGAAGCCUGAUGCAGCAACGCCGCGUGCGGGAUGACGGCCUUCGGGUUGUAAACCGCUUUCGCCUGUGACGAAGCGUGAGUGACGGUAAUGGGUAAAGAAGCACCGGCUAACUACGUG